ACUCCUACGGGAGGCAGCAGUGGGGAAUAUUGGACAAUGGGGGCAACCCGUGCAUCCAGCCAUGCCGCGUGAGUGAUGAAGGCCUUAGGGUUGUAAAGCUCUUUCAGCGAGGAGGAUAAUGACGUUACUCGCAGAAGAAGCCCGCGUACAUUCGUGCCAGCAGCCGCGGUAAUACGAAGGGGCGUAGCGUUGUUCGGAAUCACUGGGCGUAAAGCGCACGUAGGCGGAUUGAUAAGUUAGGGGUGAAAUCCCGGGGCUCAACCUCGGAACUGCCUUUGAUACUGUCAGUCUUGAGUCCGAGAGAGGUGAGUGGAACUCCGAGUGUAGAGGUGAAAUUCGUAGAUAUUCGGAAGAACACCAGUGGCGAAGGCGGCUCACUGGCUCGGUACUGACGCUGAGAUGCGAAAGCGUGGGGAGCAAACAGGAUUAGAUACCCUGGUAGACUGUC
RNAcentral lists this ribosomal RNA (448 nucleotides) under uncultured bacterium. RNAcentral describes it as "bacterial SSU rRNA". It matches the Rfam family "Bacterial small subunit ribosomal RNA", at positions 335 to 799 of the family's 1533-position model. The record is from RNAcentral.